UACGGGGGAUGCAAGCGUUAUCCGGAUUUAUUGGGUUUAAAGGGUGCGUAGGCUGUGAGGUGAGUCAGCGGUGAAAUGCCCCCGCUCAACGGGGUGAAGUGCCAUUGAUACUGCCUUGCUGGAAUGCGGAUGCCGUGGGAGGAAUGUGUGGUGUAGCGGUGAAAUGCAUAGAUAUCACACAGAACACCGAUUGCGAAGGCAUCUCACGAAUCCGCGAUUGACGCUGAUGCCCGAAAGCGUGGGUAUCAAACAGG
Molecule: ribosomal RNA, 254 nt
Filed under: uncultured bacterium
Lineage: Bacteria
Description: partial 16S ribosomal RNA
Rfam family: Bacterial small subunit ribosomal RNA
Source: RNAcentral